RNAcentral lists this ribosomal RNA (120 nucleotides) under uncultured bacterium. Its description in RNAcentral is "partial 16S ribosomal RNA". It matches the Rfam family "Bacterial small subunit ribosomal RNA", at positions 28 to 145 of the family's 1533-position model. The record is from RNAcentral.
GAUGAACGCUAGCGGCAGGCCUAAUACAUGCAAGUCGAACGGUAAAUAGAUCAGCAAUGGUCUAUGAGAGUGACGCACGGGUGCGUAACACGUAUGCAACCUACCCUUUACAGGAGUAUA